This 497-nucleotide ribosomal RNA is filed under the name uncultured bacterium. RNAcentral describes it as "partial 16S ribosomal RNA". It matches the Rfam family "Bacterial small subunit ribosomal RNA", at positions 28 to 507 of the family's 1533-position model. The record is from RNAcentral.
GAUGAACGCUGGCGGCGUGCCUAAUACAUGCAAGUCGAGCGAACAGACGAGGAGCUUGCUCCUCUGACGUUAGCGGCGGACGGGUGAGUAACACGUGGAUAACCUACCUAUAAGACUGGGAUAACUUCGGGAAACCGGAGCUAAUACCGGAUAAUAUAUUGAACCGCAUGGUUCAAUAGUGAAAGACGGUUUUGCUGUCACUUAUAGAUGGAUCCGCGCCGCAUUAGCUAGUUGGUAAGGUAACGGCUUACCAAGGCAACGAUGCGUAGCCGACCUGAGAGGGUGAUCGGCCACACUGGAACUGAGACACGGUCAAGACUCCUACGGGAGGCAGCAGUAGGGAAUCUUCCGCAAUGGGCGAAAGCCUGACGGAGCAACGCCGCGUGAGUGAUGAAGGUCUUCGGAUCGUAAAACUCUGUUAUUAGGGAAGAACAAAUGUGUAAGUAACUAUGCACGUCUUGACGGUACCUAAUCAGAAAGCAACGGCUAACUACGUG